This 1278-nucleotide long non-coding RNA is filed under the name Monodelphis domestica (gray short-tailed opossum). RNAcentral's name for it is "lncRNA (ENSMODG00000038954.1)". Lineage: Eukaryota; Metazoa; Chordata; Mammalia; Didelphimorphia; Didelphidae. The record is from RNAcentral.
UCCCCACCUCCGCCUGGGGCGGGCUGGUCCCUGCCCCGGGCGGCCCCUGGAAGGCGGGGUGGAGGGGGAGGAGGGAGGAGGGAUGGGCUCAACAACUAGGAGGCAGAGAGGCAGAGGCGGCUCCAGCGGUGCGCGCCCCCUCCGCGCGCCCCGCCAGCUGCGGCACCCGGGUUUCCCCGCCCCGCCGGGAUCGGCCCCGGCUGGGAGUGAGCUUUAAUAGGAGUGUGUGCGCGCGCCGAGCAGGUUGGUAACCGGACGCUCUCGCGAUACUUCUCUCUCUGGCCACCACCACCACCACCAGCCCCCGCAGCCCGGGGGCCGACUGUCCAGCGGAGCCCAAGUGCCCCCUCCCUCAACUCGCCCGGAUUCUAUAGAAUCAGCCCGAGGCGAGAUCGCGAGCCCACUCCUAGCUCAGACUCGCGCUCCUCUCCAGCCCAGAAGCAGGGCGCAAGCUAUAACAGUCUUACGAGCGAGGAACUUUAGAACUGGACGUGGGAGGACGUGCUACCUGAUGUUCUCGGAAUUCGACUUCACACUUGGCUCUGAAGUCUUGGGACCUAGCUAUGAACCAUGGAACAUUGCUGUCCAAGACAGACCAAAGUUACCAUUAACCUAGAGGGCAUUGGAAGGGUGCAUGGUGAACAAGAACUGACUUCAAUAUGUUACAAAGAAAGAAUUCAAAGAGAAAAAUAAUAUGAAUAGUGCCAUCAAAGACAUAUAUGAAUGGAAAAUGAAGAUAGGCUGACCAUAUCUGCAAUUAGCUGAUUGAUGGGCACUGUGCUCCUUGUAAAGUAUACUCUUGAUGUCAAGGCAAAGUAAGGAAGACCUCUGGGAUAUUGGGUAGACUCAAUGCCAAAUGGAUAAGAGGACCUAGACAAGAUCCAUAAAGAACUGGCAGGAAUUCAUGGAUUAUGAUCUGCAUAUCCCAGGGAAUUACCCAUAUCAUUGUAUACCCCAGGAGGACUUUGCUUUGUUGUGGUUGUUAUUGUUGUUUUAAAUUAGCCUCCCCCCCCCCCAAUUAAUGAAAAUCUAUGUUCUCCCCCUUCCACCUCUUCUUACCCCAGUUGCCCCCUGUAGGGGGGGAAAAAAGAAAGAAAAACAAAAUCCUUGUUACAAACUUAUAUGUGUAAGUAAAACAUCCCUGAAUUGGCGAUGUCCAGAAAAAUAGUUAUCUCCUUUGUUUCUGCUACUUUUUUGAACCAAGUGUCUUAGAUGAGAUCACAGCUCUGUUUGAGGAUUUGGGUGAGUGAAUGAAUAAAACUUGCAGUGUAUCAAGCA